This 1324-nucleotide ribosomal RNA is filed under the name metagenome. RNAcentral describes it as "bacterial LSU rRNA". It matches the Rfam family "Bacterial large subunit ribosomal RNA", at positions 1561 to 2925 of the family's 2925-position model. The record is from RNAcentral.
AGUGGAUGGGGAGCAACCUAGUUGUGCGUGUGUAAAGGUAGUGCCAAGAAAAGCGAUGAUCAUGUUGAAAAUCAAUUCCCGGUACCCGAAACCGACACAGGUGGGCAAGUAGAGAAUACUAAGGGGCGCGAGGUAACUCUCUCCAAGGAACUCGGCAAAAUGACCCCGUAACUUAGGGAGAAGGGGUGCCACCGAGAGGUGGUCGCAGUGAAGAGGCCCAGGCGACUGUUUAGCAAAAACAUAGGUCUCUGCAAACUCGAAAGAGGAGGUAUAGGGGCUGACGCCUGCCCAGUGCCGGAAGGUUAAAGAAGUUGGUCAGUUUUAGGAUGAAGCUAGCGACUGAAGCCCCGGUGAACGGCGGCCGUAACUAUAACGGUCCUAAGGUAGCGAAAUUCCUUGUCGGGUAAGUUCCGACCCGCACGAAAGGCGUAACGAUCUGGGCGCUGUCUCGGAGAGAGGCUCGGCGAAAUAGGAUUGUCUGUGAAGAUACGGACUACCUGCAUUUGGACAGAAAGACCCUAUGAAGCUUUACUAUAGCUUGGAAUUGUGUUCGGGCUUCCUGUGCGCAGGAUAGGUGGGAGGCGUAGAAGGUAUUCUUGUGGGGAUACUGGAGCCAACGGUGAGAUACCACUCUCAGGAGGCUAGAAUUCUAACUUAAUUAAGGACAGUUUCAGGUGGGUAGUUUGACUGGGGCGGUCGCCUCCAAAAAGGUAACGGAGGCGUACAAAGGUUCCCUCAGACUGGUUGGAAAUCAGUCGAAGAGUGCAAAGGCAGAAGGGAGCUUGACUGCGAGAAGUACAGUUCGAGCAGGGUGGAAACACGGUCUUAGUGAUCCGACGGUGCUGUGUGGAAGGGCCGUCGCUCAACGGAUAAAAGUUACUCUAGGAUAACAGGCUGAUCUCCCCCAAGAGUUCACAUCGACGGGGAGGUUUCGCACCUCGAUGUCGGCUCAUCGCAACCUGGGGCGGAAGUACGUCCCAAGGGUUGGGCUGUUCGCCCAUUAAAGCGGUACGUGAGCUGGGUUCAGAACGUCGUGAGACAGUUCGGUCCAUAUCCGAUGUAGGCGUGAGAAUAUUGAGAGGAGCCUUCCUUAGUACGAGAGGACCGGGAAGGACGCACCGCUGGUGUACCUGUUAUGAUGCCAAUUGUAAACGCAGGGUAGCCAAGUGCGGAGAGGAUAACCGCUGAAAGCAUCUAAGUGGGAAGCCCACCUCAAGAUGAGUAUUCUGGUGUAAGGUCACGGGAAGACGACCCGUAAAUAGGCACGAGGUGGAAGUGCAGAGAUGUAUGAAGCCGAAGUGUACUAAUAGACCGUCGGCUUGAC